CUAAAAUCCUAACCAGCACACUCAGGAAGAAGAAACACACCACAGUUGAACUCUGUCAUCCUAUUUUGGGUAAUAUUGGGUCAGGAAUGUAUGUCUUUGGGAGGACGUGAUGCUUGGGUAGCUAUUGUGCCUUAAAGCAGAUGGUGUGUUUGAGAAAAUAAAAAGAUAAUAAUUGUAAAAACAAAGGAUAAUAAAUAUUUUUAAAGUAACACUCCUCACAGGUAUGCAUUAAACAACUGACUGUUCAGUAAUUCCUUGGACCUCCCCUUUAUGAACUCAAGAGUGAUUUUUAAGAUGGGAAUCACAUAGUUUUGCUCUCUAUACUUCCAUGGUUGGGAGGCAGGGAUGGCCUUACCCUCAGUGAUGGAUGAGGCAGAUAAGGUAUGUGAUGUCUUACGCAAGGUCACUUAGAGUUUGCGGGUUGGACUGGCACUGUGGUCCAGGUAUAUCUGUUUUUUUCCUCACGUGUAUAUGUCUGUUGAAUAUGCCAUUAGCAUUGUUCCUGUGUUUGAUAAAUCACUUGUUAAGGGCUUGGAGGGUACAUGUUCCUCUGAUCUCAACCUGCAGAUAAUACAAGAGUACCCUAAGUUGUUUAAAUAAGGAAAACGUG
This 610-nucleotide long non-coding RNA is filed under the name Marmota monax (woodchuck). Lineage: Eukaryota; Metazoa; Chordata; Mammalia; Rodentia; Sciuridae. The record is from RNAcentral.